UUUUUUUUUUUUUUGGGAUUUAAUUAAAGUUUCUAGGUUAUCUCAAGCUUUGGUUUCAUGUUUAGUCUCUAUUUAUUUUGUAUUUUAGUUUGACCGAAUCUUCUUUAAUAGUAGCAUCUUGAUUUUUGAGGGGUUUUAUUUGAUUAUUUGUUUGGUUGCAGACCCCAGCUUCUUUUCCAAUUUCCUCCUUUAGUAACCCACGGAUUAUUUUCUGCUUUUUGUUAUGCACAGCGAAAGACCAAAUCUAUAUAGUUUAGAAGUUGUCUGCAAAUCCCAGCAAUAGCAAAGUGAAAAGGUAGAGCUAUUUAAGAUAGAAAUUAUGAGAAAAUUUUACUAAUGAUAGAAGAUUUUCUGUUGUGAUUAUUUAAUGCAAAUUGUUGGUAUGGGUUGCAGGGAAAAGAAAGCUAUGAGUAAUGGACAUAGACAUGAGUUAUUAAAACACUAAACAAUUGUAUCUUUUUGGUGGUUUGCUAUUGUACUUGCUACAUGCAAUGAGAAUUACUAUAGUUCACAAUCGAAUGAGUUUUACCAUAGUUAACAAAUGAGUUUCUUUUGGAACAUCUGACUCCUCCUGCCAACAGUUUGAAGCCAUGUCAUAUCAUGUACAACAAUGAAGAUGACAAUGGGAGAGAUAUUUUCCAAAGAUUAUAUUGAAAUUUUAUUGUUUAAUAGAUUGUGCUGAUUUUUUUUUCGACCCAAUUCUUUUUAUGUAAAUAAUUAUAUUAGAGGGUACUUGUGUCUGUUUUGUAUUCUAUAUUUGAUUGAAUUGUAGUUUAGAUGAAUCUUUGGGUUUGGAACAGGAUAUGGAGUUCAUACAUAACCCAUUUUGGUCCUUAAUUGUAUUGUGGAAAAAUUUAUUGCAGAGAGAUGAUUAGAGUCAAAAUAAUUAUGCUGCUA
Long non-coding RNA from Quercus robur (English oak), 897 nucleotides. RefSeq lists it as uncharacterized. The transcript is spliced from 2 exons. The record is from RefSeq and is a predicted model, not a curated record. NCBI's taxonomy places the organism in Eukaryota, Viridiplantae, Streptophyta, Magnoliopsida, Fagales, Fagaceae.